GAACUUUUCACUGAUUUUGGCAAUCCUUUAUGCUUCUUCUGUAACAGUGCUUUAGGCUGUACCUAGCAAAUACGGCAAAAAAACUUCCUCGUAUGUCUUCACCACAAUUAACAAAUGAGAGACAUGAGUUGCUGCUGUUAACUUGAAGAAGUUCAUUUCUUUGUCCUUUUAAAUCUUACUCUCUCCAGAAUAAAUCCUUCUUUAUUUCUGUGGUUGUUAGUUGAGUUUGUGUGGUAAGAUGAAGAUGCCUGUGCUUGUGAUUCCAGGAACCAUAUGAAAUAUGUGAUAUUCUUAAGAUUGCUCUUAAUGUUUUUUUGAUUCAUUUUAACCAAAAAUUUCAAUUUUAUCCCAAUGCUGGUUGUCUUUUUCUCAUUCACACUUCUCAUGAGUUUGAUGUCUUUCAAUCUUUGUCUUGGUCUGGCUCUACUGUAUAUAUGGAGGUUCAUAAAAUUGAGCAAGAUUGUUUGUAUAAUGAUUAAUUUCUGUUCUAUUAGGAAACCUAGAUUUUAUUUUGUGUGAUUGUCUGCUAGAAUCAUCUGUGCAUGUUGAGGAACAGAAGACUGAA
RNAcentral lists this unclassified non-coding RNA (565 nucleotides) under Hevea brasiliensis (rubber tree). Lineage: Eukaryota; Viridiplantae; Streptophyta; Magnoliopsida; Malpighiales; Euphorbiaceae. The record is from RNAcentral.